ACCCUCCUGAAGAAGGAUACCUUGACUUUCACAUUUGUACAAGCUGCACACUCAGUGGAAGAGGAAGACCUUCCCUCAUAGCAGAGGACAGUUCUUUAGCGAAGGGUAUAUGAGUAGCUGUGCUCCCCUGCACAUUUCAAACAAGCUCCCAUUUGCGCUGUUAGAAGUUAGU
This 172-nucleotide small RNA is filed under the name Vicugna pacos (alpaca). Its description in RNAcentral is "7SK RNA (ENSVPAG00000017847.1)". It matches the Rfam family "7SK RNA", at positions 109 to 260 of the family's 331-position model. From Rfam's summary of the family: 7SK was discovered as an abundant small nuclear RNA in the mid-70s but a possible function has only recently been suggested. The record is from RNAcentral. Lineage: Eukaryota; Metazoa; Chordata; Mammalia; Artiodactyla; Camelidae.